This 85-nucleotide transfer RNA is filed under the name Oligoflexales bacterium. Its description in RNAcentral is "tRNA-Leu". It matches the Rfam family "tRNA". Rfam says of the family: Transfer RNA (tRNA) molecules are approximately 80 nucleotides in length. Their secondary structure includes four short double-helical elements and three loops (D, anti-codon, and T loops). Further hydrogen bonds mediate the characteristic L-shaped molecular structure. tRNAs have two regions of fundamental functional importance: the anti-codon, which is responsible for specific mRNA codon recognition, and the 3' end, to which the tRNAs corresponding amino acid is attached (by aminoacyl-tRNA synthetases). tRNAs cope with the degeneracy of the genetic code in two manners: having more than one tRNA (with a specific anti-codon) for a particular amino acid; and 'wobble' base-pairing, i.e. permitting non-standard base-pairing at the 3rd anti-codon position. Lineage: Bacteria; Pseudomonadati; Bdellovibrionota; Oligoflexia; Oligoflexales. The record is from RNAcentral.
GCGGACGUGAUGAAAUUGGUAGACAUGCCGGUCUUAGAAGCCGGUGAGGUAACUCGUGUCGGUUCAAGUCCGACCGUCCGCACCA